GUGCUCGCUUUGACAGCACAUUUGCUAAAAUUGGAAUGAUACAGAGAUUAGCGUGGCCCCUGCACAAGGAUGACACGUAAAUUCGUGAAGCAUUCCAUAUUUAA
Molecule: small nuclear RNA, 104 nt
Organism: Ailuropoda melanoleuca (giant panda)
Lineage: Eukaryota; Metazoa; Chordata; Mammalia; Carnivora; Ursidae
Source: Ensembl